RNAcentral lists this ribosomal RNA (513 nucleotides) under uncultured bacterium. RNAcentral describes it as "partial 16S ribosomal RNA". It matches the Rfam family "Bacterial small subunit ribosomal RNA", at positions 28 to 507 of the family's 1533-position model. The record is from RNAcentral.
GACGAACGCUGGCGGCGUGCUUAACACAUGCAAGUCGAACGAAAAGAGGGAAAGAGCUUGCUCUUUCCGGUAGUGAGUGGCAAACGGGUGAGGAACACGUAAACAACCUGCCUUCAGGAUGGGGACAAGAGACGGAAAUGACUGCUAUUACCGAAACAGUCCCAAGAGCAGCACAGCCCAUGGUAGAAAAUGUGGCCUCUAACUGAAAGCUAUCGCCUGUAGCGGGGUUUGCGGCUGAUUAGCCGGUUGGAGGGGGAACGGCCCACCAAGGCGACGAUCAGUAGCCAGUCUGAGAGGAUGAACGGCCACACUGGAACUGAGACACGGUCCAGACUCCUACGGGAGGCAGCAGUGGGGAAUCUUCCGCAAUGGGCGAAAGCCUGACGGAGCAACGCCGCGUGAGUGAUGACGGCCUUCGGGUUGUAAAACUCUGUGAUCCGGGACGAAAAGGCAGAGUGCGAAGAACAAACUGCAUUGACGGUACCGGAAAAGCAAGCCACGGCUAACUACGUG